Molecule: ribosomal RNA, 479 nt
Filed under: uncultured bacterium
Lineage: Bacteria
Description: partial 16S ribosomal RNA
Rfam family: Bacterial small subunit ribosomal RNA
Source: RNAcentral
GACGAACGCUGGCGGCGUGCUUAACACAUGCAAGUCGAACGAAGCUUGAUUACGGAUUCUUCGGAUGAAGUAUGAUAUGACUGAGUGGCGGACGGGUGAGUAACGCGUGAGUAACCUGCCCUUCAGAGGGGGAUAGCGUUUGGAAACGAACGGUAAUACCGCAUAAUGUAUUUUGACCGCAUGAUCGAAAUACCAAAGAUUUAUCGCUGAAGGAUGGACUCGCGUCUGAUUAGGUAGUUGGUGGGGUAACGGCCUACCAAGCCGACGAUCAGUAGCCGGACUGAGAGGUUGAUCGGCCACAUUGGGACUGAGACACGGCCCAGACUCCUACGGGAGGCAGCAGUGGGGAAUAUUGCACAAUGGGCGCAAGACUGAUGCAGCAACGCCGCGUGAAGGAAGACGGUUUUCGGAUUGUAAACUUCUGUUCUUAGUGAAGAAUAAUGACGGUAGCUAAGGAGCAAGCCACGGCUAACUACGUG